GUGCCCGCCUGCCUGGGGUCUGCCGCGCUGCCCGCCUGGGGAAGAGUGCGACGGCAUUUGGGGCGGUGGCCGCCGACCCCGGGCCCAGGAAGGGGCAGGCCCCAGAGCUAAGGGAAGAACCGAGAUUUCCUGGUCACCAAAGCGCGCAAGAAGGAAGCCUGGAGCUCGCCCUCCGUUCCGCAGAGUGCUGCGUAGGAAAGGUGUGAAAACCCUCCGUGCUUUCCAGUACAGACCCAGGAACAGGGCUGAACUCCGCGCACGGUGUCACCGCGAAAGAAUCAGAAGUAUGAAAAAUGACUUUCCAUAGUAAACCAUGAAAAUGGAGUUAACACCUUCAGCAUCAGAGGCAACCAACCGGUCACCUCCACAGUCACAGAAGCCCUGCACGUUACACGGUGUUCUGCGGGCUCCCUGUAGAAGAGCGGCUCCUGCUUUGCCUUUGAUGCACACAUUUUGUACUUGGUCUCUCACCUGUCCGUCAGGGGCCACACCUGAACCUGCCAUCACAUGCAGAACCUCACGAAAAACCCAGUGCCAACCUCUACUUUUAGGACCAUGAAGAAAGAAAGAACUUUUAAGUUUUUAGUGACAUUCUUUUGUCUUAAGGAAAACAAGGCAGAAGCAUUAUCUUAGUUUGCCAAAGCUAGGCUGGGGGAAGGGAUCUGUGAUAGUUCUGAUUUCACUGAGUUUCCAGAUAAGGAACACCGCUGACAUUUUUAAUUCCCCCCUCAUUUUCUUACUUUAAAUAUAUAUAGUAAGAAAAUCUUAAUCCUGAGAGAGCUCAGAUACCAGAAACCCAGGGAACAGUGAAGGAAGCCCUGGGUUCCGCACCAUCUCAUCCCAGAGGUGAGAAGGUCACUGCUAUGGUGAGGAUGGGACUCCCCACAGGGCCAGACGCCAGAGCUCUCUGCUCACAGGACUCUGGCAGGCCUGCGAGGCAAGCGGUGACCCUUAGAGCGGACACCUGACUUCGGAGACCCAAGACUUAAUCACUGAGUCUCAAGCUCUAAGUUGCCUAACCAGUUGGACCACAUUUAUUAGUUAUAAAUCGCAUAAAGGAAGAUACAUUUAAAUGGAUGGGUAUUUUUCUUCCUUACACGUUUCUCCAGUUUUUAGAAAUGAAAAAUCAUGGGGGGAAAUCAUACCACCUUUAUUUAUCAAAUGAGGGAAAGGCCAACACAGAAAAUACUGACAGGACUGCUUGGGCACCUGGGCGGCACCCCCUGGCACACACACCUGGGUGACUUCCCAAGCCCACCCCUGCUGGACCCUGAUGCAUCUGCUGGCAUUCAUCUGGUCAGGUUCUGUUCCAAGCACAUUAUGUCGGUGAAUUCAGAGGACUCUAUUCAUAUGUACAAAAAUACAAUUUGCUUUGGAGAGCUGGAAAAGGGUUAAUACGUACAACACUUAUUUACAAGCUGCGACUUUCACACCAAUAAAAACACAUUUAUUUUGUCCUUGA
This is a long non-coding RNA of Cavia porcellus (domestic guinea pig), 1462 nucleotides long. RefSeq lists it as uncharacterized. NCBI's taxonomy places the organism in Eukaryota, Metazoa, Chordata, Mammalia, Rodentia, Caviidae. The transcript is spliced from 3 exons. The record is from RefSeq and is a predicted model, not a curated record.